RNAcentral lists this ribosomal RNA (274 nucleotides) under uncultured bacterium. RNAcentral describes it as "partial 16S ribosomal RNA". It matches the Rfam family "Bacterial small subunit ribosomal RNA", at positions 523 to 796 of the family's 1533-position model. The record is from RNAcentral.
AUACGAAGGGGGCUAGCGUUGUUCGGAAUUACUGGGCGUAAAGCGCGCGUAGGCGGACUGAUCAGUUAGGGGUGAAAUCCCAGGGCUUAACCCUGGAACUGCCUCUAAUACUGUCAGUCUUGAGUUCGUGAGAGGUGAGUGGAAUUCCUAGUGUAGAGGUGAAAUUCGUAGAUAUUAGGAAGAACACCAGUGGCGAAGGCGACUUCCUGGCCAAAAACUGACGCUGAGGUGCGAAAGCGUGGGUAGCAAACGGAAUUAGAUACCCCUGUAGUCC